Molecule: ribosomal RNA, 439 nt
Filed under: Euhadra peliomphala
Lineage: Eukaryota; Metazoa; Mollusca; Gastropoda; Stylommatophora; Camaenidae
Description: partial 16S ribosomal RNA
Source: RNAcentral
CGAAGUGGUUUGAGCUAGAUAUAACUGUAUUAUUAGUAUUUUGUGUAUGGUGUGGCAAAACGAUAUCAAAAGUUAUGUGUAGGGGUGAUAGGCCUAUCAAAAACCAAGAUAACUUGAUUCUAAUGAAAGGUAUUUAGUACAAUAUUAUACAUUUAUUAAGUGGUGAGGCUUAAUAAUAAUAUAAAGAUAUGUUAAUGGGUGUAUAUUAAUUUAUAAUAAAAAAAUAUAUAAUUAUAAUAUUAUUUCACUUUAAUUGUUUAUAGAUAUUAAUUGGAUGUAGCUAAACUUUGUAUGUUUUAAUAAUGUUAGUAUUAGUAUAUUGGUGCUGGGUUUAUUUGAGAACUCGGCAAAACUGUUCUCAACUGUUUAUCAAAAACAUAACUGUGUGGGCCUAUACAUAGCUUUUUCUGCUCAAUGAUUUUAUUAAAUAGCCGCAGUA